Molecule: ribosomal RNA, 472 nt
Filed under: uncultured bacterium
Lineage: Bacteria
Description: partial 16S ribosomal RNA
Rfam family: Bacterial small subunit ribosomal RNA
Source: RNAcentral
GACGAACGCUGGCGGCGUGCUUAACACAUGCAAGUCGAACGAUGAACCCGGAGCUUGCUCUGGGGGAUUAGUGGCGAACGGGUAAGUAACACGUGAGUAACCUGCCCUGGACUCUGGGAUAAGCGUUGGAAACGACGUCUAAUACCGGAUAGGACCUUGGAUCGCAUGAUCUGGGGUGGAAAGUUUUUUCGGUCUGGGAUGGACUCGCGGCCUAUCAGCUUGUUGGUGAGGUAAUGGCUCACCAAGGCGUCGACGGGUAGCCGGCCUGAGAGGGUGACCGGCCACACUGGGACUGAGACACGGCCCAGACUCCUACGGGAGGCAGCAGUGGGGAAUAUUGCACAAUGGGCGAAAGCCUGAUGCAGCAACGCCGCGUGCGGGAUGACGGCCUUCGGGUUGUAAACCGCUUUUAGUAGGGAAGAAGGGCUUCGGCUUGACGGUACCUGCAGAAAAAGGACCGGCUAACUACGUG